RNAcentral lists this ribosomal RNA (497 nucleotides) under uncultured bacterium. RNAcentral's name for it is "partial 16S ribosomal RNA". It matches the Rfam family "Bacterial small subunit ribosomal RNA", at positions 28 to 507 of the family's 1533-position model. The record is from RNAcentral.
GACGAACGCUGGCGGCGUGCCUAAUACAUGCAAGUCGAGCGAACAGGUGAGGAGCUUGUUCCGCCUACAUGAGCAGCGGACGGGUGAGUAACACGUGGAUAACCUACCUAUAAGACUGGGAUAACUUCGGGAAACGGGAGCUAAUACCGCAUAAUAUCUUGAAACACAUGGUUCAAUAGUGAAAGACGGUUUUGCUGUCACUUAUGGUUAGAUCCCGGCCGAUUUAGCAGUUGGUUAGGUAAACGAUUUACAAAGGGAACGUUGAUUAGCGGACCGGGAGGGGGGAUGGGCCACUCGGGAACGGGGACACGGCCAAGACUCCUAGGGGAGGCGGCGUAAGGGAUUCUUGGGCAAUGAGGGAAGGCCUAACGGAGCAACGCCGGGGGAGGGAGGAAGGUCUUCGGACCGUAAAAUCCUGUUAUUAGGGAGGAACAAAGGUGUAAGGAACUAUGCACGUCGUGACGGUACCUAAUCAGAAAGCGACGGCUAACUACGUG